Molecule: ribosomal RNA, 468 nt
Filed under: uncultured bacterium
Lineage: Bacteria
Description: partial 16S ribosomal RNA
Rfam family: Bacterial small subunit ribosomal RNA
Source: RNAcentral
GACGAACGCUGGCGGCGUGCUUAACACAUGCAAGUCGAACGGAAAGGCCCUGCUUUUGUGGGGUGCUCGAGUGGCGAACGGGUGAGUAACACGUGAGUAACCUGCCCUUGACUUUGGGAUAACUUCAGGAAACUGGGGCUAAUACCGGAUAGGAGCUCCUGCUGCAUGGUGGGGGUUGGAAAGUUUCGGCGGUUGGGGAUGGACUCGCGGCUUAUCAGCUUGUUGGUGGGGUAGUGGCUUACCAAGGCUUUGACGGGUAGCCGGCCUGAGAGGGUGACCGGCCACGUUGGGACUGAGAUACGGCCCAGACUCCCACGGGAGGCAGCAGUGGGGAAUAUUGCACAAUGGGCGGAAGCCUGAUGCAGCAACGCCGCGUGCGGGAUGACGGCCUUCGGGUUGUAAACCGCUUUCGCCUGUGACGAAGCGUGAGUGACGGUAAUGGGUAAAGAAGCACCGGCUAACUACGUG